This 253-nucleotide ribosomal RNA is filed under the name uncultured bacterium. RNAcentral describes it as "partial 16S ribosomal RNA". It matches the Rfam family "Bacterial small subunit ribosomal RNA", at positions 524 to 776 of the family's 1533-position model. The record is from RNAcentral.
UACAGAGGGUGCGAGCGUUAAUCGGAAUUACUGGGCGUAAAGCGCACGUAGGCGGCUUGGUAUGUCGGGUGUGAAAUCCCCGGGCUCAACCUGGGAACUGCAUCCGAAACUGCCUUGCUCGAGUAUGGGAGAGGGAAGUGGAAUUUCCGGUGUAGCGGUGAAAUGCGUAGAUAUCGGAAGGAACAUCAGUGGCGAAGGCGACUUCCUGGACCAAUACUGACGCUCAGGUGCGAAAGCGUGGGGAGCGAACAGG